Mesocricetus auratus (golden hamster) is the source of this 294-nucleotide long non-coding RNA. RefSeq lists it as uncharacterized. The transcript has 2 exons. The record is from RefSeq and is a predicted model, not a curated record. Lineage: Eukaryota; Metazoa; Chordata; Mammalia; Rodentia; Cricetidae.
GCCAUGGUCCCAGCCAUCAGUCUGGAGUUCAAGAGCUCCCCCUGUUCAGGAAGAAGCAGCACUGUAGAGAAGUCCCCUGGAGAGACACCAAGGCACUAAAAUCACUGGCUAAUAGUCCCAGCGAUGAGACACCAGCUUGCCAGCCAUGAGAAUGAGCCAUCUGAGGAGUACAUCUUCUAGAUCCAAUUAAAUGAACACAGUUCAUUCCAUCUGCAGCAGAGAUGAACCCUUCCUGCCAGACCUUGCCCAAACUGUAAAUUUGUGAGCAAAAUAAAUGAUGAUUGUUAUUUCAAA